Molecule: ribosomal RNA, 119 nt
Filed under: Colobus angolensis palliatus
Lineage: Eukaryota; Metazoa; Chordata; Mammalia; Primates; Cercopithecidae
Source: RNAcentral
AUCUACUGCCAUACCACCCUGAACGUGACCAAUCUCAUCUGAUCUUACAAGCUAAGCAGGGUCGGGCCUGGUUAGUAUUUGGAUAGGAGACACCCUGGGAAUUCUGGGUGCUGUAGGUU